RNAcentral lists this transfer RNA (71 nucleotides) under Phallus indusiatus. RNAcentral's name for it is "Dictyophora indusiata tRNA-Trp". It matches the Rfam family "tRNA". From Rfam's summary of the family: Transfer RNA (tRNA) molecules are approximately 80 nucleotides in length. Their secondary structure includes four short double-helical elements and three loops (D, anti-codon, and T loops). Further hydrogen bonds mediate the characteristic L-shaped molecular structure. tRNAs have two regions of fundamental functional importance: the anti-codon, which is responsible for specific mRNA codon recognition, and the 3' end, to which the tRNAs corresponding amino acid is attached (by aminoacyl-tRNA synthetases). tRNAs cope with the degeneracy of the genetic code in two manners: having more than one tRNA (with a specific anti-codon) for a particular amino acid; and 'wobble' base-pairing, i.e. permitting non-standard base-pairing at the 3rd anti-codon position. The record is from RNAcentral. Lineage: Eukaryota; Fungi; Basidiomycota; Agaricomycetes; Phallales; Phallaceae. RNAcentral also lists the same sequence under 1 other name.
AAGAGUGUAGUGCAACGGUAGUAUAGUGAUCUCCAAAAUCAUUGGUAGGUGUUCAAAUCACCUCACUCUUG